This 253-nucleotide ribosomal RNA is filed under the name uncultured bacterium. Its description in RNAcentral is "partial 16S ribosomal RNA". It matches the Rfam family "Bacterial small subunit ribosomal RNA", at positions 524 to 776 of the family's 1533-position model. The record is from RNAcentral.
UACGUAGGGUGCGAGCGUUAAUCGGAAUUACUGGGCGUAAAGGGUGCGCAGGCGGCCGCGCAAGUCGAGUGUGAAAGCCCCGGGCUUAACUUGGGAACUGCGCUCGAAACUACGUGGCUGGAGUGUGGCAGAGGAAGGUGGAAUUCCAGGUGUAGCGGUGAAAUGCGUAGAGAUCUGGAGGAACACCGAUGGCGAAGGCAGCCUUCUGGGCCAACACUGACGCUCAUGCACGAAAGCGUGGGGAGCAAACAGG